AGAGUUUAGAUCUGGCUCAGGAUUAACGCUGGCGGCGUGCAUAACACAUUCAAGUCGAACGGAGAGAGGCAGCUUCGGUUGCGUCAAUCAGUGGCGGACGGGUGAGUAACGCGUGAGUAACCUGCCUGUAAGAGGGGGAUAACACCUGGAAACGGGUGCUAAUACCGCAUAAAUCAUAGUUGUCGCAUGGCAGCGAUGUAAAAGAGGAAUUGCUUACAGAUGGACUCGCGUCUGAUUAGA
RNAcentral lists this ribosomal RNA (240 nucleotides) under uncultured bacterium. RNAcentral's name for it is "partial 16S ribosomal RNA". It matches the Rfam family "Bacterial small subunit ribosomal RNA", at positions 8 to 245 of the family's 1533-position model. The record is from RNAcentral.